This 585-nucleotide long non-coding RNA is filed under the name Oryza brachyantha (malo sina). Its description in RNAcentral is "long non-coding RNA (OBRA_LNC003325)". The record is from RNAcentral. Lineage: Eukaryota; Viridiplantae; Streptophyta; Magnoliopsida; Poales; Poaceae.
UUGUCCAAUACAAUUAUUGAGCUCGAUCUCUUGUUUUACAGUUCAAUUAACGUUGCACCUGCCAAGGUAUGCAUAUGCCAAUCAUCGCAGAUAUGUAAUGCUAGCUAACUGAGUCUGCAUGGGACAAAGUUGAGCACCGCUCGGUGCACUGAUUGCAACAAACAGAAUGAGCUCCAGUAGAGUAGAGUGGAAUUGGCAUCGUCGGCGACCACUCUACCGCAUGCAUGUGUUUCUGCAGAAAUGGCCAUAGUAGUGCAAAAACCGUGAAAUCAAAAGUCCUGAUCCCUCCUAUGCCAACAACAACCAUGCUGGUCAUAGCCAGGGAGUGCUAUACUCUGCCUCUCCAUGAAGCGUUGCUCUUUCUCUAGCUAUCUCUCAGCCUGCAGAAUUUCUUGCUCUUCAUCUUCAUGUAAUCUUUGAUAUAUCCAACUCCUUUGUUGUUUGAGAUGUGAAUUAAACCAUCUGGUUUAUUUGAGAAGGAUCGAGACAGCACAGUCUAGAUUUGGGCCUCAAGUUUUGAUAUUCAGAUUACACUACAUCUAAGAAUCAGACUACACAAGAUUUCAGAUUUCUCAUUCCAGAGUU